RNAcentral lists this ribosomal RNA (490 nucleotides) under uncultured bacterium. RNAcentral describes it as "partial 16S ribosomal RNA". It matches the Rfam family "Bacterial small subunit ribosomal RNA", at positions 28 to 507 of the family's 1533-position model. The record is from RNAcentral.
GAUGAACGCUAGCGAUAGGCUUAACACAUGCAAGUCGAGGGGCAGCAUGGUCUUAGCUUGCUAAGACUGAUGGCGACCGGCGCACGGGUGCGUAACGCGUAUGCAACUUGCCUCACAGAGGGGGAUAACCCGUCGAAAGACGGACUAAUACCGCGUACACUCCAUCUUGGGCAUCCAAGGUAGAGGAAAUGAAAUUCGCUGUGAGAUAGGCAUGCGUCCCAUUAGCUAGUUGGUGAGGUAACGGCUCACCAAGGCGACGAUGGGUAGGGGAACUGAGAGGUUGAACCCCCACACUGGUACUGAGACACGGACCAGACUCCUACGGGAGGCAGCAGUGAGGAAUAUUGGUCAAUGGGCGAGAGCCUGAACCAGCCAAGUCGCGUGAAGGAUGACUGUCUUAUGGAUUGUAAACUUCUUUUAUACGGGAAUAACAAGAGUCACGUGUGACUCCCUGCAUGUACCGUAUGAAUAAGCAUCGGCUAACUCCGUG